RNAcentral lists this ribosomal RNA (475 nucleotides) under Diutina rugosa. RNAcentral describes it as "eukaryotic LSU rRNA". It matches the Rfam family "Eukaryotic large subunit ribosomal RNA", at positions 48 to 534 of the family's 3401-position model. Lineage: Eukaryota; Fungi; Ascomycota; Pichiomycetes; Serinales; Debaryomycetaceae. The record is from RNAcentral.
UAGCGGAGGAAAAGAAACCAACCGGGAUUGCCUCAGUAACGGCGAGUGAAGCGGCAACAGCUCAAAUUUGAAAGCCCGCGGGCGUUGUAAUUUGCAGGCGGAUGUUUUGGGGCGGGCGCUGUCUACGUUCCUUGGAACAGGACGCCGCAGAGGGUGAGAGCCCCGUGCGAUGGCGCCUCUAACCGCGUAAAACUCCGCCGACGAGUCGAGUUGUUUGGGAAUGCAGCUCCAAGUGGGUGGUAAAUUCCAUCUAAAGCUAAAUACUGGCGAGAGACCGAUAGCGAACAAGUACAGUGAUGGAAAGAUGAAAAGCACUUUGAAAAGAGAGUGAAACAGCACGUGAAAUUGUUGAAAGGGAAGGGUAUGCGAUUAGCGGCCAGCAGGAGGUGCCUUCUCGUGAAAAGGCCGUGCACCGUCUUCGGACACCGUGCGCGGAGAUGGCGAGGGGGCGCCUGAGGUCUGCGAACUCGAGUGC